UACGGCGAGUGAAGCGGCAAAAGCUCAAAUUUGAAAUCUGGUACCUUCGGUGCCCGAGUUGUAAUUUGGAGAGGGCAACUUUGGGGCCGUUCCUUGUCUAUGUUCCUUGGAACAGGACGUCAUAGAGGGUGAGAAUCCCGUGUGGCGAGGAGUGCGGUUCUUUGUAAAGUGCCUUCGAAGAGUCGAGUUGUUUGGGAAUGCAGCUCUAAGUGGGUGGUAAAUUCCAUCUAAAGCUAAAUAUUGGCGAGAGACCGAUAGCGAACAAGUACAGUGAUGGAAAGAUGAAAAGAACUUUGAAAAGAGAGUGAAAAAGUACGUGAAAUUGUUGAAAGGGAAGGGCAUUUGAUCAGACAUGGUGUUUUGUGCCCUCUGCUCCUUGUGGGUAGGGGAAUCUCGCAUUUCACUGGGCCAGCAUCAGUUUUGGUGGCAGGAUAAAUCCAUAGGAAUGUAGCUUGCCUCGGUAAGUAUUAUAGCCUGUGGGAAUACUGCCAGCUGGGACUGAGGACUGCGACGUAAGUCAAGGAUGCUGGCAUAAUGGUUAUAUGCCGCCCGUCUUGAAAC
Molecule: ribosomal RNA, 561 nt
Filed under: Saccharomyces cerevisiae (brewer's yeast)
Lineage: Eukaryota; Fungi; Ascomycota; Saccharomycetes; Saccharomycetales; Saccharomycetaceae
Description: partial large subunit ribosomal RNA
Rfam family: Eukaryotic large subunit ribosomal RNA
Source: RNAcentral